AAGUAAGUACCCAAGAGCAUACGGUGGAUGCCUUGCCACAGUCAGGCGACGAAGGACGCGGUUACCUGCGAAAAGCCACGGGGAAUAGGAAGCAUAUGUUGAUCCGUGGAUGUCCGAAUGGGGCAACCCAACUGGAGUCAUGUCCAGUUACUCGAAAGAGAGCCAACCCAGAGAAUUGAAACAUCUUAGUACCUGGAGGAAAAGAAAACAAACGUGAUUUCCUGAGUAGCGGCGAGCGAAACGGAAAGAGCCCAAACCGAUGGCUAUGCCAUCGGGGUUGUAGGACCCAAGAAGCGACUGCAGAGGAUAGUAGAAUGACGUGGGAACGUCAGCCAUAGAAGGUGAAAGCCCUGUAAACGAAAUUUGAAGCAGCGUGUGGGAGAUCCUGAGUACCGCGGAGCACGAGAAAUUCUGCGGGAAUCUGCCGGAACCAUCCGGUAAGGCUAAAUACUCGACUGUGAGCGAUAGUGAACCAGUACCGUGAGGGAAAGGUGAAAAGCACCCUUAAGAAGGGAGUGAAAUAGAACCUGAAACCGUGUGCUUACAAACGGUGGGAGGAAGAUAUCGGGUCCGCCUGAUAUGGACUGACCGCGUGCCUUUUGCAUAAUGAGCCAACGAGUUACUUGUACCAUGCAAGGGUAAGCAUCUAAGAUGCGAACCCGCAGCGAAAGCGAGUCUGAAUAGGGCGAUUCAGUAUGGUGCAGUAGACGCGAAGCCGUGUGAUCUAUCCAUGGGCAGGAUGAAGCGGAGGUAAAACUUCGUGGAGGUCCGAACGGGUGCGGGUUGAAAACUGCUCCGAUGACCUGUGGAUAGGGGUGAAAGGCCAAUCAAACUCGGCAAUAGCUCGUACUCCCCGAAAUGUUUUUAGGAACAGCCUCGCGUGAAGUCUACUGGGGGUAAGGCUCUGAUUGGGCUAGGGCCAUUACAGUGGUACCAAACCCAGACAAACCGUAAAUACCGGAUAGACACUGCGCGGGAGUGAGGCGGCGAGGGAUAAGCUUCGUCACCGAGAGGGAAAGAACCCAGACCAUCAGCUAAGGUCCCCAAAUUACUGCUAAAAGUUUCAAAGGAGGUGCAGUUGCAUAGACAGCCAGGAUGUUUGCUUAGAAGCAGCCAUCAUUUAAAGAGUGCGUAAUAGCUCACUGGUCAAGCGACUGUGCGCCGAAAAUACCCGGGACUAAGCAGUGUACCGAAGCUAUGGAUUUGCAGCAAUGCAAGUGGUAGGGGAGCAUUCUGUACUGCAGUGAAGGUGUGUCGUGAGGCAUGCUGGAGCGUACAGAAAAGCAAAUGUUGGCAUAAGUAGCGAGAAAGCAUGUGAGAAUCAUGCUCGCCGAAAACCCAAGGGUUCCUGGGCUACGUUCAUCGUCCCAGGGUUAGUCGGCUCCUAAGGUGAGGCCAAACGGCGUAACUGAUGGGAAACAGGCACACAAUAUUCCUGUACCUCCAAAAGUGUUAAGCAGAAGGACGCAGAGACGUGGUUGCAUCGGAUUAAUGGCUAUUCCGAUGCAGCAAAAUCACUGCCAAGAAAAGUUCUGUGUAUUACUUCGGAGACCGUACCGUAAACCGACACAGGUGGGUGGGUAGAAUAUACUAAGGCGCUCGUGUGAGCCGUGGUUAAGGAACUCGGCAAAUUAGCCCCGUAACUUCGGAAGAAGGGGUGCUUGCUUUGCGAAAGCAGGGCGAGCCGCAGUGAAAUGGCCCAAGCAACUGUUUAACAAAAACACAUCUCUCUGCUAACACGUGAAGUGGAAGUAUAGGGAGUGACACCUGCCCGGUGCCGGAAGGUUAAGAGGAGAGGUUCGGCGCAAGCCAAAGCUUUGAAUCGAAGCCCCGGUAAACGGCGGCCGUAACUAUAACGGUCCUAAGGUAGCGAAAUUCCUUGUCGGGUAAGUUCCGACCUGCACGAAUGGUGUAAUGAUUUGGGCACUGUCUCAACCACGGG
Molecule: ribosomal RNA, 1942 nt
Filed under: Kapaibacterium sp. (SeqCode)
Lineage: Bacteria; Pseudomonadati; Bacteroidota; Eximiradiia; Eximiradiales; Kapaibacteriaceae (SeqCode)
Description: partial 23S ribosomal RNA
Rfam family: Bacterial large subunit ribosomal RNA
Source: RNAcentral